AGUGAACGCUGGCGGUAGGCCUAACACAUGCAAGUCGAACGGCAGCACAGUAAGAGCUUGCUCUUACGGGUGGCGGGUGGCGGACGGGUGAGGAAUACAUCGGAAUCUACUUUUUCGUGGGGGAUAACGUAGGGAAACUUACGCUACUACCGCAUACGACCUACGGGUGAAAGCAGGGGAUCUUCGGACCUUGCGCGAUUGAAUGAGCCGAUGUCGGAUUAGCUAGUUGGCGGGGUAAGGGCCCACCAAGGCGACGAUCCGUAGCUGGUCUGAGAGGAUGAUCAGCCACACUGGAACUGAGACACGGUCCAGACUCCUACGGGAGGCAGCAGUGGGGAAUAUUGGACAAUGGGCGCAAGCCUGAUCCAGCCAUACCGCGUGAGUGAAGAAGGCCUUCGGGUUGUAAAGCCCUUUUGUUGGGAAAGAAAAGCAGCAGGUUAAUACCCCGCUGUUCUGACGGUACCCAAAGAAUAAGCACCGGCUAACUUCGUG
RNAcentral lists this ribosomal RNA (492 nucleotides) under uncultured bacterium. RNAcentral's name for it is "partial 16S ribosomal RNA". It matches the Rfam family "Bacterial small subunit ribosomal RNA", at positions 29 to 507 of the family's 1533-position model. The record is from RNAcentral.